GGUGGUGUUCCCGAGCGGCCAAAGGGAGCAGACUGUAAAUCUGCCGUCAUCGACUUCGAAGGUUCGAAUCCUUCCCCCACCACCA
This 85-nucleotide transfer RNA is filed under the name Escherichia coli. Its description in RNAcentral is "tRNA-Tyr". It matches the Rfam family "tRNA". Rfam says of the family: Transfer RNA (tRNA) molecules are approximately 80 nucleotides in length. The record is from RNAcentral. Lineage: Bacteria; Pseudomonadati; Pseudomonadota; Gammaproteobacteria; Enterobacterales; Enterobacteriaceae. RNAcentral also lists the same sequence under 4 other names.